CCCGCUGAACUUAAGCAUAUCAAUAAGCGGAGGAAAAGAAACUAACAAGGAUUCCCCUAGUAACUGCGAGUGAAGAGGGAAGAGCUCAAAUUUGUAAUCUGGCAGUCAUAUGGCUGUCCGAGUUGUAAGUUAGAGAAGUGUCAUCCGUGCUGGCCUGCACAAAAGUCCCUUGGAAAAGGGCAUCAUAGAGGGUGACAAUCCCGUCUUUGGUGCAGACCACCAGUGCAUUUGUGAUGCGCUCUCAAUGAGUCGAGUUGUUUGGGAAUGCAGCUCCAAAUGGGUGGUAAAUUCCAUCUAAAGCUAAAUAUGGGCGAGAAACCGAUAGCGCACAAGUACCGUGAGGGAAAGAUGAAAAGGACUUUGAAAAGAGAGUUAAACAGUACGUGAAAUUGUUGAAAGGGAAACGCUUGAAGUCAGUCAUAUCCCUCAGAAAUCAACCCACCCAUUGGGUCAGGUGCAUUUUCUGUUGGAUGGGUCAGCAUCAAUUUUGAUCAUUGGAUAAAGGGCUUGGGAAUGUGGCAUCUCCGGAUGUGUUAUAGACCAUGUCUGCAUACAAUGGUUGGGAUUGAGGAACUCAGUGUGACCUUCAGGUUUGGGGGUUUUUAACCUCACACUACACACUUAGGAUGCUGGCAUAAUGGCUUUAAUCGACCCGUCUUGAAACACGG
Molecule: ribosomal RNA, 668 nt
Filed under: uncultured fungus
Lineage: Eukaryota; Fungi
Description: eukaryotic LSU rRNA
Rfam family: Eukaryotic large subunit ribosomal RNA
Source: RNAcentral